Molecule: ribosomal RNA, 371 nt
Filed under: uncultured organism
Description: partial 16S ribosomal RNA
Rfam family: Bacterial small subunit ribosomal RNA
Source: RNAcentral
GGAGGGUGCAAGCGUUAUCCGGAUUCACUGGGUUUAAAGGGGUGCAUAGGCCGGGGAAUGUAAGUCAGUGGUGAAAUCUCGGAGCUUAACUCCGAAACUGCCAUUGAUACUAUGUUUCUUGAAUAUUGUGGAGGUGAGCGGAAUAUGUCAUGUAGCGGUGAAAUGCUUAGAUAUGACAUAGAACACCGAUUGCGAAGGCAGCUCGCUACACAUAUAUUGACGCUGAGGCACGAAAGCGUGGGGGAUCAAACAGGAUUAGAUACCCUGGUAGUCCACGCCCUAAACUAUGAUUACUCGACGUGUGCGAUACACAGUACGCGUCUGAGCGAAAGCAUUAAGUAAUCCACCUGGGAAGUACGACCGCAAGGUUG